This 548-nucleotide long non-coding RNA is filed under the name Monodelphis domestica (gray short-tailed opossum). RNAcentral describes it as "lncRNA (ENSMODG00000031711.2)". The record is from RNAcentral. Lineage: Eukaryota; Metazoa; Chordata; Mammalia; Didelphimorphia; Didelphidae.
UUCCUUCAAUCACAUAGAGCUUCUAUGAUGUUCUGGAUGGUUUAUUAGGAAUAUGCAGACAACCUUUAUUUUAUUAAGGUUCCAUUCCCCACCUUAAAUCUGCUGUAAGCAUAUUCAGUUUUGCCAGAUUCUAAAAACCUGAAGGAAUUCCAUGUGAGCUGGAAACACCUCCAGGAAUUGAUGUAGAGUGAAAGGACCAGAACCAGGAGAAUAUCAUACACAGAGACUGAUACGCUGUGGCACAAUCAAAUACAGUGAGAAGAGAGAAAAAAGAUGUCACCUGCUCCCAACACUAUGAGAAAGAGCCACUGCCCACUACCUCCCAGAGAGUAAUUGUCAACUCUCUCAGAGUAACAGCCACCCCAGAGAGUAACUGCCACUCCCAGAGACCAACCGCCACAGAAAAAAAAAAAAACAAAACUAUUAUACUGUCAACAUUUGAAACUGAUAUUGUCUCAUAUGAACUUUAAACUCCAAUUUUUUUCUCAAGCCAGCUUCUCUACUUCUUAUCUCUAAACUAAUAUAAUAAAACUUAAUUUCUAAUAUCA